Molecule: ribosomal RNA, 246 nt
Filed under: Theileria sp. buffeli/orientalis group
Lineage: Eukaryota; Apicomplexa; Aconoidasida; Piroplasmida; Theileriidae
Description: partial 18S ribosomal RNA
Rfam family: Eukaryotic small subunit ribosomal RNA
Source: RNAcentral
GUGGUGUUACCUCACCAGGUCCAGACAGAGGAAGGAUUGACAGAUUGAUAGCUCUUUCUUGAUUCUUUGGGUGGUGGUGCAUGGCCGUUCUUAGUUGGUGGAGUGAUUUGUCUGGUUAAUUCCGUUAACGAACGAGACCUUAACUUGCUAAAUAGGAUGCGGGAAUAAACUUUGGUUGUCCCGUAAUCGAUUUAAAGAGGGACUAGGCGGGUUUAAAUCGCAAGGAUGUUUAAGACAAUUACAGGU